This 254-nucleotide ribosomal RNA is filed under the name uncultured bacterium. RNAcentral describes it as "partial 16S ribosomal RNA". It matches the Rfam family "Bacterial small subunit ribosomal RNA", at positions 524 to 776 of the family's 1533-position model. The record is from RNAcentral.
UACGGAGGGUGCAAGCGUUAUCCGGAAUCACUGGGUUUAAAGGGUGCGUAGGCGGCGAGGUAAGUCAGUAGUGAAAUUCCCCGGCUCAACCGGUGGGACUGCGAUUGAUACUGCUUUGCUUGAAACAGGUUGAGGUAAGCGGAAUGUGGCAUGUAGCGGUGAAAUGCAUAGAUAUGCCAUAGAACACCGAUUGCGAAGGCAGCUUGCUGGGCCUGACUUGACGCUGAGGCACGAAAGCGUGGGGAGCAAACAGG